CGCAUCAGGCACAAGCCAAUGCUCGCCUAUCUGCUGAAUGGAAUGAGCAAUUAGAGGGUGGAAUAUUAUUGCGAUCUUAACGAGGCUCGUUAAAGCUAAAGAAGAUAUGUAGACUGGAGAUGCUUAGCAGAGACGGGCGGGGAGGGAGGGAGGCAGAGGGAGCUUUAAAUGGGUGACAAAUGGACAACCAAUGACUGCAACUCGGGAAUACACGUUUUGAAUAGAAGCGAGUCAAUUUGCACAUUAUUUUCGCAUAGCUUUUCCUGUAGUAGCUACUUUUUUAUCUUUCCAUCAGUCCAUUCAUUUUUUUCUCUUGUGCGAGGCUUUAGAGUGUUCUAGCUGCAUUUUUUUCCCAAACAUGUCAUCGCUUUCUUGUUUUCUGAAAUAUCAGACACAGUCCUGUAACCGUUUGACUUUUGCCCCGGAUUCGUCGGUGAUUUUAUCAUAUUUUACCAAAAGAAAAAGAAAUUUUUUCUGACAUGAUCUCGGCUGGCUGGUGUGUGUGGUCACUCGGUGCUGUUGGUCCGGGUGUCUGCAGCAGUGUGAUGCCGCUCCCCCUCCUGCUGUCCCCGGCCCCUGCCUCCGGGACGCUGGGUGCAGCCCUGGCCCCCUGCCCGCUGCCUUUUCUCUCCAACCAACAAAUUUAUUGUUUAAAAUGAAUAUCGAUGCGCACCGUUGUGUUGAUUAAACACAGAUCAUGGCAUUGUAGAACUAAUUUACCAGCGCCCUUUUAGCUCUUUAUUUUUUUUCUCCAUUGUCCGGCCCUCUAAUUAAAACCAUUAGUAUUAGAAUUACAAUCAAAUGGCAACAUGAAAGCUUCUUGGGCACAUAAAAGCAGUUUUCAUGUAUUUGAUCUAGUGGUAAGGACAUGAUCAAUGUCCACAUCCAGUCACAGGAUUCGGCUUAUAGCGGUAGCCACGGCGGUGUGAUUUUCAUGUUUAUGGCUAAAACGGCUUCAUAUUUAGACAGGGCUUACAGGGUGUUAAAAUAGUGUGAGUUCACUCUAACACGAACAGUGCUCACAUUGUGAAAGAGCCGUGUACAAGGCGUAGCAUCUAGACUCCGCUUAAUCCGCCCUCAAUAAAGCUGACAUAAUGAUCCUAAGCCGCCUUUCUACAAAAUCAUUCAGGAAUUCAAAACUUUUCCUUCCCUCUCCGAUUUGCACAUUCUCCGGGGCUGACCAGAUAGACCACCGACUUCAAGCUUGGAGGGACAUUUGGCAGAGGCUGGCCAGAAAAGGCAGCACACCCCUCCCUUACAAACACAGGAGAGACUGUGUGCCUGCUGCUCCAUCCUGGAUUCAUCUCAACAAUACACAGGACAAGACUUUGGAGAAAUGAUGGGGCUGUGACCACUCCACGGACUGUCACCAUUUGCAACUGGAGGUGGCACCGGUUCACUGCGAUUUCACUGCUCGAUGUGUCCGAGAUCGUGAUGGAAAUUCUGCUGCGGCUCCUGUAAGUUCUGUCACCUGUAAGCUGACUCGUUUCCGUCUAGGAUGGUGCCGUAAUAAUGUUCCGUAAACUGCGAGUAUUUUUUUAAUCGUUUUUGCGGAUAUUUCUUUAUUAAAAUAUUUAUAAAAUUGUUUUUAAAAUCCCAUAGGGCCUUUUAGUUUGAACCAGAAGACGUCUCCUUUUUUAAUGUGGUGUUUUUGGCAUUUUUAAUCACCGAGCACCGGGCAGGAUCUGCGCAGAUGUGUGAUGCUGUCGGGUUGGGGCGCACAAUCCCCUCCGUCCCAUGCUGGCCAUUCCAGGGUACGGAGACUCGACACUGUGUCUACACUGUAAAAAGUAUCAACCUCAAAAAGUCGUUUAUUGUAACACUGAGUUUUAAAAACGGGCGUUUCUGUUUUGUAUCCAUCAUUCGUUUGGUAGAAACGUGCACAAAUCCUGGUAACCGGUUUGUGAUUAUUUUAUGUUUCCAUAUGGACUUUUUCCAUAACAGUUUAAAAUCAGUGUCAAUUUCUGAAUUGUGAUGGAGAUUUUCCAGGUUGAAUAUAUUCUGAUUUGUUCCAAGAGGCUAACAUUUGUUUCUGGAAAACAUCUGCUGUGCGUAAAAAUUCGUCUUUAUGCGUAAAAAUUGCCACUGGCAGAUUUUCAUUGGAUUUGCGGAGAACAUGGUAAAAUCAAGACUGAAAUUUUAAGAUAUUUUUUGCAGUGCAUUAUCUCCUACUCCCACAUGAAGCCUAUAACAAGCUCCUAUAACAAUUUUAUUCUAUUUUUUCCUCUUUAAACCCGUUCCAAACUGAAAUUACGCAUGCCAUUUUGCCUAUAAUUUACUUGACAUCCAGUGCCAAAACCCACUGAGUCUGCUGCAGCGGCUUUAAAGUGUGAACAGUUGCUAAAUUAUAACCACAGGUGCAAUAGGUCACCGCUCUGUUUGUGGAAGCUGCACUAAAUACAACACCGCCUUCAUUUGGAAUUAAGGAAAUGGAAAAACGCGACGAUUGAAUAUGCAGGUUUUUGUGCAAUUGUUGUCACAAUGAUCAGUAAAUGUGGCGCCAACUUUAACAGCUAAGCUUGUACAAAAGUUUUUAACAUCUCUCUCUCUCCCUGUGUGUGUCUCUCUCACUCUCUCUCUCUCCCCUUUCCCUCCCUCCUUCCUUUUAUUGUUUUUAUUGUGUGGUCUCAUUAGGGGGACUUCCUGGCAGGGCUGGGAGCUUGUAUCGGAGCUGUCCAAUCAGUGUAUUUACACGGGUUGUUAGCGACAGUUAAUGAGGGCUCCUCCCCGGGCCGGUAGAGAAAGGCGCCUCAACAUUAAGAUUUACCUUGUGUCAACUCGUUACUUCUAAUGAACCUCCAUGCAAAAAGCCUCGUCGUACUCAAUGGAGCCGUGCGCCCGGAUCUUGUGUUUGAGACCCUGGAAGAGUGGAGCUGCAAGCCGGCCUCCCUCUCCCCCAUCCUUUUUUCUUCCGCUCACUCAGGGAGAGUUGCUUUUUCUCUGCAGGUCCGGGUCUGUGAUGCAUGCAUGCCGUGUGUGUGCGUGUGUGCGUGCGUGCGCGUGCGUGCGUGUGGACAUGUGUGUCGAAUGAAGGUGGGUGGUGCACACAGCCUACUGUUCAUAAAAUGUCACGUUAGUAAACCCAAAUCUGCACAAUAACGCCUCAUUUUAAUCCGUUUUAAAUCAACGCAUUGCAGACAAAAUUGUGUUAAAACGGAAAUAUUUUCUAAAAGCUGUUUUCUAAUCAUCUCUUCAAGGGUCAUCAGAGACGAUCAGGACGGUGUUUGCAUGUCCAUAUCACAAAAUAGGUCCUCUAAUUGUGUGUUGACUGAGGCCUGACCUGUCAUCUUGUUGCCUCUGCAGAAGUAAGUUCAUUUAGAAUCGUCCUCCAGCCCCCCACGGGAGCACCGAGCGCGGAUCGGACUCCGGCCCCUCUGUCCACCCCUCGUCUGGCCCCCAGUGUGGCUUGUUGAGCCGCAUCAGCAACACAUCACUGCCCCUCAAUUCAGGUACAAACUGGAGGAGUUUGGCAGAUCCCUGAAGUGGACUCUCCUCUUUACUCUGCUAAACCACAGAGACACCACUUAAAAAUCAAUUAGGCUCGUCUAGUCUCUCCCUGCGCGCCAGUCAUCAUUUCAAAAACACCAAAUUUUGGGAGGGAUUUAAACUAAAAAACCCAACUUGGAUUCAUUAUUUAAUUUUAACGUGGGUGCAGUUGCACCUUAUGACCACUCUGAAUUUCUACUACCACUACCGCCACGCUGCUGUCUACCUUCAUGAGAUAAUUUACUCAUUUAAGUUGCUUUAUCUGAUAGAUUUUGUGCCGAGCUUCGCCUCUGCUCAAGCUGUGACUAGUAAAUAAAACAUUCCCUCUGACAGGACCUUUCGAUAUGAAGAGCGCUUACAAACUGUUACACAAUAUGUUUGCACAUGAUAAUGGGGUUUACCAUUUCGUAGACAAAUCUACAUCCAGCAGCAGGUGACAAAGUGGCUUCUAUACUCCCGGUUGUUGGCACUUUGUCACCUGCUGGUGAUAGUGACAGAAAACAGUUUGGUUUCCAUAUUCUUCUAAAGACACAAAACUGUUCCUAAAAUCCAUCUGAUCACUUACACAACCUCCUCCUUCAUGCCGGUAAAAUGCGUAUUUUCUCGUGUCGUCUCUUUCCGUCGCCCGGUCCUCCGUGUUGCAGGGAGCAGCAGCGCUGGAGGAGGCCGCGUGUUCACUCUUCCAGGUAGAUGGGCUGAUUUGGAGACGGAAUAAAUAUAAUGGGUGCAUAUCAGAUGCAUGGCCCCGAGCUUUACAUAUGAUGCUCACCUUCCAUUCCCCGAUGACUUCUGCUUUUUUUUUUACAGAUCAAAUCCAAACCUUCUCCACUCUCUCAGCUUUACUUCAGCCACUCUUGUGCAUCGCCUAUUAGGCUGCACGUUUAGGCCCAAAAUCUGCACUUUGAGGCCUGUAAAGUGUCCAGAGUUACAACAGCACACAUGUUGACAGAAUGUCUCUCUCUCUCUCUUUUUUUUUUAAGAAGAGACUGUUUUGGAUUUGGCUGUCCAGGCUGAUUACGCGCAGCGGCUCUCAGAUGCAGAUCGGAGCUGUGGCCCUUUAGCCCGCUGUCACCGGAGCUGACGGGCUGUAAUUACUGCGGCUGACAUAUCGCUCUCAGAGCUCACUAAUGUGAGGGACGUGGACAGCGCAGGCAGCUCGUAUACGGUGGAGGCUGCUCAACUCUUUGGCCACGGAGUCGCUUGAGAUGCAGGCGGGCUGCAGGGCCACAUGCUCCUGCUGACCUUCUCCAUUUUAACAUUUGAGUAGUGAAGCAGCCUCUUAUUUAUGAGCCAGUGAUACGGUGGAGGAGAUCACAAGGCUGCAAGUGAAUGAAAACCACGAACAGGAAACCAGUGGUGGAAAGUAAUCAAGUACAUUUACUUUAGUACCUUAUGUGCAGUUCUAGUGUGUUUGUACUUGACUGGAGUGGGUUCAUUUACUUCUACUCCACUAUUUAAAGUGUUAGCUACUUUACAAAUUAAUAUUUUACGCACUAAUAUAUCAUAGCCUUCAAAAUAGUAGGCAAUGAUUAAUAUUAAGCGAUACAACAGUUGUCACCUUGAGCUUCUUGCAUGUUAAUUUAUCAGUUAUUAAUUCAAGCAAGCAGAAGUAACCUCUCUGUAUCAGAUGUAAAACUACUGUAUACAUUUGAGGUUCUUGCUCUGCUUUGCAUUUUGUGCUGCACUUCAGAGAGAGACAUUGUACUUUUUACUUCCUUGCAUUUAUUUGACCGCCAGACAUUUUCACCUUCCCAAACUACAAGAUUAAUCAAAGCAUUUUACUGCAUAAAUGACCAUAUUUCAGCUUGUAAAUACAUUUUUUAUGACAAAAAAAUGUUCCUUUUUGCAUUGUGAGCACUUAUAUGUUGAAUCGUUUAACACUUUUGCUGAUAAUUCAGUAAAUGCGACACUUUAGGCUUCACUAAAUGCAAACUUUAAGGGUCUGUGUUUCUUCUUGUCGAUUAAAAAUAUUUACCAUUAAAUGAUGAGAGUGAUAGAUGUUUCUAUUAGAUGAGCACGGUAUUAUUAGUCAUAAACUAGUAAAUAAUCUCUGUUGCUGUUUGUCACAGUCAUUUAAUUCCUCCCACAACAAGCAGAAUUGAAGUUUCUCAGCGGUUAAAUUCAAUAAUUUCAUCAAGGCUUCAUUUUGUAGUCAGUCGCUGUGAAAUAUUUACAGUUCCACGCUGAGUUUAGGUGUGAAGGGAGCCGCAGUUCUGUCAUUGUCUCACAUUUUGGUUGUUGCGCUGUUUGCUUGGCACCUAAACGAACAAAUCCGACGUCUCUCCCUCUCUGUCUCCCUGUGUCUCUCUCUCCCUCUCCCCUCCUUGACUGCAGCUUUUGACAUUACUCCACUCGAUUGCCCGUUUACCCCCAAGUCAAGUUUGAGGCAGGCAUGAAGUGUAAAAGAGGUGGGCCAUGUCAUAUCCGCUCAGUGUGCAGGGGAUUGUUGGCCUGCGCGCCGCUGAUCAUUGUUCAGGAGAACAAUCCAGGCAGGAAGAAGGCAGCAUGUCAGAAAACCUGCAAGGAAAGUUGCAAACUGAGGCUGCUUGGACAUUAUUUGCUCAUAGUUUUUUGUUGUUGUUUUUUUGUCUCAUUUUACAGCAGUGCAGUCCGAAUGAGAGCAGGGUGUGUUUACAUGUGGAUAGAUUACUUUCAGUACAUUUAGGUUAGGACUGUUUUUCAUUAAAACUCUGCAAUCUGGAACAUUUAUAGAGCUGGACUUUGAAAAGAUCAUGUGACACUGAUCUAAAGGUAUUGCUAGCAUUGAUGAGAUUCAUCCCAUCUGCUUUAAUGUGUUACAAAAACACGUUUUCCCUUCAACUGGCCAACUAUGUGCUAAAAUUAUUAUCAAAAAAGACUUUCAAGAAAUACUUUGAAUACAUGUUAUUAAUUUAUAUAUUUAAUAUUUAUUAAUGAUUAUGUAGCCUAAAAUUACUUUUUAGUUUCUUUGUAGAGUUAUCUUUUCAGGAAGGUAUUCCCACGAUGUUCUUUUCGGUUUGGUUUUUGCUGCUUGGCUGUUUUUGUGUUUCUGCUUCAUAGUUCCCCCCCUCCUACAUAAAAUUAAAUUUAAUUUCUAUCCGGUUUUAAUCCUAUAACGUCAAUGGACAACAUAUGUCACCUCCAGGCACUUUACAUAGGAAGGAUUUUACAAAAAGAAUCAACUGCAAAUAUAUCCAAAGGUUCUUUUCGUUUCCCUUUACGCAGCAUUUGGCACCUUUUGAAUGUAGAAAGUGCAGCUGAUUCUUCAGCAUCUAACUGGUCUAGAUGUUUCUCUGCAGCUCACAUCACUGUUUUACUGAUUGAUUCAACAUUUGGCUAAUUGAUCCCCAAACCUGGUUACCCGAGGUGGUUGCUAGGCAACAGAUUAGUGCCGGUGUAGUCUCAGGUGUACUUCUUAUCGAGUUCAUCACCACUGCUUGGGCUCAGCAGCCAAUCAGAGAAGGUGCGGAGCGGAACUAACCGUCCUGUACCUGGAUAUUAGCUUACAGGAUAAUAACGGAGGGACGAGGAGCCGUUUAUUCACGGCUGAGCUGCGCCCGUCCGGUCUGAUCUGUGUCCACGACUCAGUUUGGCUCGACGGAUCAAUAGAUGGUGUCUGGGAGAGGUGAGGGGGAGAGAGAGGAAAGGAAAGCUGCAACAGGUCGGUAAGAGAAUGAUCCACAGAGCACAUCUGCGUAAAACCAACUUCUAUGGAAUUUUACACACGGACAGUUUGUGUUAAAUAACAAAAACUAAGACUAGUUUCUGUAAUAAAAGUCUCUUAUUUAUGAGCUAGUAUUGUGAUAGAUGACGUAAUAAGGGCUGUGUAUGACUGAAAAACAUCAUGCUGUGAUACACAUUAAACAGAAAACUAGUGGCAGAACGUACCUGACUACAUUUAUUUCAGUAGUUAUGUGAACUUCUGUUGCACUCACACUGGACUUGAGUGUUCCUCAUUCAUUUGACAGCUGUACAGAUUAAUGUUUUACAACGAAAUAUUUUAUCAUCUAAAAAAGUCUGAAGUUUUAAUUCAUGUGAAGUUAUUCAGCAGUAUAUAAAGAUGUAACAGUUUACCCUUGUGCUCCCAGCAGGUUCAUUUAUCAGAAUUAGUCUUUCAUUCUGCUAUAGCAGAGGUAAAGCCACUGUAUCACUGGAGAGUGACUGAAUACUUCUACUCAAGUAUUGUACAAGUUUGAUUUACUUUCACUAGUCUCCCUUUUAUGCAGUUUUACACUUAAUCUCUAUUAAAUACACCAUUUUUUGUGGAAAUGUUUCCUGCAGACAGUUUAUUUGUGCUGGCAAAGUGUUGCUUUUAUUAUUUAACUACUAAAAGCAACAUAGUAGCCUCUUAGUUAUGAUCUCGUGAUGUAAAUGAAAAACAGCAUGUUGCAAUACUUUAAAUGAAUAUAAAAGUAUAAAGUAACACAGUGCAUUUACUGAAGUGAUGUACUUGAUUUGAGUGUUUCAAGUUCAUUUCUCUUUACUCCGCUAUUUUUUAUUCUACAAAAAUUCAGGUUAAAUUGUUCAACUGUAUGUAAAGUUGUAAAACAGUUUCACCUUGAGCUAAAUACAUAAAGAACAUCAGAAACAGCUCAGGUAGCCACAGGAAGGCGACUGAGUACUUUUACUAAAGUAUUGUACAAAUUUGAUGCACUGCUUUUGUUUUAAUGUUGUUUUAUACUUCAUGUUCUCUGGGGAAAAGUCAAUUUAUUUUAUCAUCAUUUUGAUUUAAAAAAAAUAGCAAUCUGCAUGCAUUAUAAAUUUUGGGUGGAAUAAUCCUGGAAAAUAAGAAUUUAUUGCUAUAAUUAUCUUUAUUAUUGCUAUAGUUUUAUAAUUAUUGCCUGAGAUUAUUGCAGGAAUUUAUGUAAAUCUGUACAAGAAUGAUCAAACACAUCAACCAAAGCUGCCAUUUGAACUGGAUUCUGACCAUUACGCAUGAAAAGAGCGCAAUUCUGCGGCCUGAAAAUGAUAUUUUCCUCCUUAACUUCUGUCCGUGUGUCUGCGUGGAAGCAGAAUGUCCUCCUGGAUCAACUCUUUGGUUUCCAGACUGAGCAUUUUGCCUGCUCACGGUGCCGAUUGGCUUCUGCAGUAUCAGUAGUUUGUAUCAGGUCUGUGCGCUCACCACGCACACCCACUGGCCGCUAUUGAAACCAUAAAUGUUUCCAUACACACGUGUGCUGCUGGAAUCAUCGGAGCCUGCAUGCGUGUAACCUGCCAUCCAUCUCCUCUGUGCAGCUCACAAAAUAAAACCCCCGAAGUGCCACCCAGACCACACAGCCUCCUAAUAUUCCAGUAACAGAACGUGGAGCUGACCUAUAUCCGCCUGCCACAUAUUCCAGCUUUGUUACUGUUGUUCAUUCAUUAUUCAGGUGGCGAUGAUUGGCUCUGGAUGGCAGAUGUCAGAGCGUGAUGGAGAUGUUUGUGUUUGACUGAUUUAAGGAGCCAUUAUCCCGCCCGCUUAUCAAACAUUCAUGUGUGGCAGCUGUAGUUGUGGAUCUGCCCUCCGCAGUGUCUCCUGUGGCCGCUUCGUUUCUCUUCUUAAGCAGCCACGACCUUUCCACUCAGUUAACCUAUUAUCUUUUAACAUUUAAGAGGCAGCUCAGCUCCUUCUGCGGAAAGAAAACAUCUGAAAGCAUCACAUAUAGGCUCUAUAUCAUAGGGAAAAAAAUGCAUAUGAUAAACCAAACCCUUCAUAGCAGAGAAUAUAGAUCGUUUUCAAUUAAAAAAUGAGGCUUAAUGUGUCCAUUAAACGACAGAAAAAAUACCACAAAUAGCGCAGAAGGUUAUAUAUAACGUUAAUACGACUUAAAAUCAACAAACUAUCAUGAAUCAUGAAUAAAAAUGUAAAAAAUCUGCCACAUAAUCUCACUAUAAGCGACAAAGCACUAAGUUAGACGAAUUUUACACUAACCUUUGCUUAAAGGUAUCGAUUCCAUUCAAACAAUUAGUCUUUACAGCUAACUGCACAUUAGUAAAGAUCACAAGAAAAUGGUUUGACUGUAUAGACGGCAAUUAAUUCUGUUGUGAAUCAUCAGAGGCAUCAUUAUUAUUAUUUUAAUCAUUUAAUAUGCAAGUACAUUUAAACUAAUUGUAUUCUUUGCAUAUUGUCUCAGAUUUAAGUUGCUUUUGUGGCGUAAAGGCUUCUUGUAACAAACCAAAAGGCAAUUUAAAUAAGAAAUAAGUCCCUUUUUUGAUAUUUUUUCUUAUAGUAUAACAGUACAAGUGGAGACUAAAGUGGAGGGAAUUAAUGAGCACGAAACACUUAUUUCCUGCAUUCUGGUGAAUGGUUUUUGCUCUAAUUUUCUGCACCAAUUUGUGUUAGAAAUGUCUUUAAUUAUGCAAAGAAGUCACUAAAUACAGGCACAGUUUGACAAAUCAAAAUGUAAUGGAAUAUAAUGAACUAAGAGUCUCAGGGAGUUUUAAAUAUUUAUUCUGCUGUAGAUCAACUUUUCUAAUUUAAUAUCAUCCCUGCUGGGUAGACACACAUCUCAGCAUCAUUUAGACUUUUUUCUCUUGUUUUUUGAAAGUUGCUUCUUAAAAUUACUUUAAAAUGAAUUCUUUUUAAUUCAUUUGUAAUCAAAAAUCAAUGUUGAACACUAAUAACCAAGAAACACGAUGGACUGUUUGUGCAAUGCUAAAAUACAGAAUUUAUUAAGACAGAUUUUAAAAAUAUAAAUUCACUUUUCCAGACCUUAAUUGUUCCUAUUCAGUAUUAAACAUCGAAACAGCUAAAAGGAAACUUCUCCAUUUGAAUCGUGUGCCACAUGGUUGUUUUCUAAAAGCUAAAAAAUAAUCAAAUAAAUCCCUGCAGCCUC
Long non-coding RNA from Acanthochromis polyacanthus (spiny chromis), 10280 nucleotides. RefSeq lists it as uncharacterized. The record is from RefSeq and is a predicted model, not a curated record. NCBI's taxonomy places the organism in Eukaryota, Metazoa, Chordata, Actinopteri, Pomacentridae. The transcript is spliced from 3 exons.